GACGAACGCUGGCGGCGCGCUUAACACAUGCAAGUCGAACGGAAAGGGCCUGCUCUUGUGGGUAUCUCGAGUGGCAAGCCGGUGUAACACGUGUGCAAAAUCUGCCCUUCACUUGGGUAUAAAUUCGGGAAACUGGGGAUUAUCCCAGACAUCAGCUCCUGCUCCAGGAAGGGGGGAGGAAGGUCUCGGCGGGAGGGGAUGGACUCGCGGCUUGUCAGCUUGUUGGUGGGGUAGGGGCUUACCAAGGCUUUGACGGGUAGCGGGCCUGAGAGGGUGACCGGCCAGAUUGGGACUGAGACACGGCCCAGACUCCUACGGGAGGCAGCAGUGGGGAAUAUUGCACAAUGGGCGGAAGCCUGAUGCAGCAACGCCGCGUGCGGGAUGAAGGCCUUCGGGUUGUAAACCGCUUUCGGCAGGGACGAAGCGAAAGUGACGGUAACGGGUAAAGAAGCACCGGCUAACUACGUG
This 468-nucleotide ribosomal RNA is filed under the name uncultured bacterium. RNAcentral's name for it is "partial 16S ribosomal RNA". It matches the Rfam family "Bacterial small subunit ribosomal RNA", at positions 28 to 507 of the family's 1533-position model. The record is from RNAcentral.